UUUAUUUUUAGAUGUUAUAAUUGCCCACAGCGAAUCACAAUUUUAAUAUCUAAUCUAAUCUAAUCUAAUAUUUGCUCUUGAUUUGCUCCGAUUUAACUAUUGUGUUGUAAAUGGAAUAAUCCACAUUUAUAAAGUGUCCACGCCAUCAUUGAAAAAGUUAAUUUUUAAUCUAAAUUCAAUUUUAUUUGUAACAAUUUUGUAUUAGACUAUUAAUUUGUUCAUGAUAGUUUGUAAAAGAAGUUUGUAUCCCUUGCAUGCUGCGUUACUUACUAAUUUAAUGUAUGUGAUUUUUGUAAUGAAUAUUAAUGUAAGAUAUAUUUCGAACUUUACUUUUAUUUGAAUUUUUUAUUUUAAUAUGAUUAACUCAAAAAAAAUAUUAGUUAUUUGGGGAUCGGGGACCCUCGGGGAUCCCCUGUUAUUAUUCGGGGAGGGGAUGAGGAUUCUCUCAAGUAAUUCUGACGGGGACGGGGACAUACACAAAAUAUCGGGGAUAGGUACGGGGAGAUUGGUCCCCUCCCCUCCCCUCCCCAUUGCCAUCCCUAGAUUUUAUAGUGUAAGAAUGUUUAGAAAAACUUUAAAACUAUGGGAUUUAAUAGAAUUGUGAAAUUAAUCUUUAAAACUACAAUGUUUUAAAGUUUUCUCAAACUUUCAUGCACUUUAAGAUCCUGAAUUUAAAUAUUUUCUUACAUAUAUAUAUAUUGGCUAUAAGAUUUCUUAGAAGGUAUUUCAAAAUGGGCAAAGCCUGUGUCAAUAAUUUUGAUAGGUCCCAGUCAAAGCUGUUGUAUUUUGUAUGUAAAUAGAAUUCUACUUAGGGCGAGAAUCAGCCACAAGAAUUUGUUAUUGAAUUCACUCUUCCCUUUAUUCUGCAUAAUACUUGAGUUUAAAUACAUAAAUGACUAACAGACUCCUCCUAAAAUAAUGUCACAACUACUGAAAAUCAGUAACUGAAUCUAAAUAAAGCCGGCACCUAUUAAAAUAACAAAAUACUUGCUAACAGAACUUGAUUAAGCCUUAACUUGCACGUGACUAAGCUGACCACUCCACUAAAUCCACUAAAUCCUCAACGGCUCCAUGCAUUCUUGACUCAUUCCUUUUAGACAGUGAACUUGCAAUUCUUGAUGGGCACACGUUGAGACUUUCUUGGUUUAUCAAAUUUACAUGAUUGUGAUAGUUAAUAUGCAAUUGGAAGGGAAUAGAGCAAUAUGUAUAAUGGUAAGUAUGCACAUAUAUGUCUUAGACAUAAUACAAAGGGCGGAUCCAAAACUUAACAUUACCUCGGGUUAAAUUCUAAAAUUUAUAUUUUGAAGUAAACAUAAAAAUUUAUAAGUAAAAAGAUCUACAUUAAAUAAGGGAGAGAAGAAGAACUUUAUUGUUUUAAAUAUGUACUAUAAACAAAAAUAAUUGUAAAACAAGAGUAGAAAAUAAAAGGCAAUCCAAAUAUCAAAAUAUUAUUUUUUCAGUUAUAAAAUCUGACAUUGCAACUUAUAAUAAUAUGUAAUUAUAUAAGAUUAAUAAAUCAAUUAAGAAUUUCAACCAAAAUAGGUCAAUACAUGUAAUUACAAUCAAUUAAAAAUCGCAAGUAAAACUUUUAUAUGUGAAGUCAAGUAAUAAAUUACUAGACUUAAAUAAAUUAAACAAUUAGAGUUUAUUCAUCCUUUUAAAUGAUAAAAGUAUUAUUAGUCAAAAGAUUCAAUAAUAAACUAAACUCAAUUUAAUAAAAUGGUAUUUGGGUGCCAUUAUUUUUUCAGCCAAGUGCUUCGACUCUCUUU
Molecule: long non-coding RNA, 1769 nt
Filed under: Citrus x clementina
Lineage: Eukaryota; Viridiplantae; Streptophyta; Magnoliopsida; Sapindales; Rutaceae
Description: Citrus clementina (C. clementina) long non-coding RNA (CCLE_LNC005186)
Source: RNAcentral